This 254-nucleotide ribosomal RNA is filed under the name uncultured bacterium. RNAcentral describes it as "partial 16S ribosomal RNA". It matches the Rfam family "Bacterial small subunit ribosomal RNA", at positions 524 to 776 of the family's 1533-position model. The record is from RNAcentral.
UACAGAGGGUGCGAGCGUUGUCCGGAAUCACUGGGCGUAAAGGGCGCGUAGGCGGCAAUUCAAGUCAUCUGUGAAAUCUCCGGGCUUAACCCGGAACGGUCAGGUGAUACUGUUUUGCUAGAGUGCGGAAGGGGCAAUCGGAAUUCUCGGUGUAGCGGUGAAAUGCGUAGAUAUCGAGAGGAACACCAGAGGUGAAGACGGGUUGCUGGGCCGACACUGACGCUGACAGCGCGAAAGCCAGGGGAGCAAACGGG